This 214-nucleotide long non-coding RNA is filed under the name Pongo abelii (Sumatran orangutan). RNAcentral describes it as "lincRNA". Lineage: Eukaryota; Metazoa; Chordata; Mammalia; Primates; Hominidae. The record is from RNAcentral.
GAUAACUUCAGGAAGUGGGUAUUAAUUCUCACUGUAUAAAUGAAGACAUUAAGCACCAGAGUUUAAGUAGUUUGAUCCACUGAAAGAGCUUCAACUGUGUGGCACCUAUGGCGAGGAGAGUUGCUUUCUGCCAUUGUUGUCCAGCAGUUGCCGAAUAGCUCUGACCUGAGCAAAGCAGUGAAACGCGGUGCUGUUGAGUGGGUUGCCACUGCAC